RNAcentral lists this unclassified non-coding RNA (984 nucleotides) under Hevea brasiliensis (rubber tree). The record is from RNAcentral. Lineage: Eukaryota; Viridiplantae; Streptophyta; Magnoliopsida; Malpighiales; Euphorbiaceae.
GUACAGUCCAAUAAUGAUAAGGUUUGUAUCUUUCCCAUCUUCUGUUGACUGUUUCUUUCUUUUGUACUGAUUCUGACCAAAAUUCAUGUCUGCUGGUCAUUGACGGUAAUCUUGUUUCGAAUAAGUUUUCAGAAGAAAAGGGUUGACUUAGUAGAAAAGAAGAAUAAAGCAAAAAUAUUCUUUAGUCAAGAAAAAUGGUUUCCCAUAUUCCUUUUUGUGUUAUUUAUAGGUAUACAAAAAUACAAUCACAUUAAAAUGCCAAAAAUAUAGGUAAGCAAACUAGAAAUUUGCAAAAGUUUUAUAUAAAAAGACUGGCAGUUGUUAGGUGCCAAAGCACAAAAGUUACAUUAUUCACAAACCUAGCAAAAUAUGGAAAGACAUCCUUGUGUAGUGGAAUAUUUUACCAGAUUUAAGUGCUCUUGAAUAGUUAUUGUUGUAAAAAGUACACUUUGACCUGUUUAAUGAUAUUAUCUCUGGAUGCUGAAAAGCUGAGUGCAGAGGUCUGAAUCAUCUGGAAUUUUCUGAGAUUUGAUUUAUCCUUUUUUUUUUGUGAUAUAGAAAUGGUAUUUAAUAAAAACAUGUCUGCAGUACUGUACUAAGAUGUGAAUAUCUCACAAAAUGGGAGAUUAAUUUUAGAUGAUGAGUUUUAUGAUUCAAAUGUUAAAAGCGUGUCGUGGGCUGCAAGAGGCAGAUAUUUUGUAAGGAGUUACCAGUUCAAGAUGUCCCUGUUUGGACUGAUAUGGAUAAUAGUUCUUCAUAUUGAUUAUUAUUCUGUGAAGUCAUUGUAGCUGUAAAGCGAAGUCUUAAUCAUUGGAAAGCCAAUUUCUUGGUGCACAAAACAUAAACAUAACAGGAAAUAUUACGUCUUCCUCCCUAGUUGCUUCAUUCAUACUGACUUGAUUAAUAAAUAGUCAAUAAUUGCAUAUAGUGUUAAACCUGUUCAUGUAUUCGUUUUACUUGUAGGUGUCAUUGCUCUUAAAGGAG